GGAAUAUUGGACAAUGGGCGCAAGCCUGAUCCAGCGACGCCGCGUGGGUGAAGAAGGCCUUCGGGUUGUAAAGCCCUUUAAGCCGGGAAGAAAAAACCGAAGCUAAUACCUUCGGUCUUGACGGUACCGGAAGAAUAAGCCCCGGCUAACUCUGUUCCAGCAGCCGCGGUAAUACAGAGGGUGCAAGCGUUAAUCGGAUUUACUGGGCGUAAAGCGUGUGUAGGUGGCUGCGUAAGUCGAUUGUGAAAGCCCUGGGCUCAACCUGGGAAUUGCAGUCGAUACUGCGUAGCUAGAGUUCGGUAGAGGGCGACGGAAUUCCCGGUGUAGCGGUGAAAUGCGUAGAUAUCGGGAGGAACAUCGAUGGCGAAGGCAAUCGCCUGGGCCUGAACUGACACUGAGACACGAAAGCGUGGGUAGCA
Molecule: ribosomal RNA, 419 nt
Filed under: uncultured bacterium
Lineage: Bacteria
Description: bacterial SSU rRNA
Rfam family: Bacterial small subunit ribosomal RNA
Source: RNAcentral